RNAcentral lists this ribosomal RNA (760 nucleotides) under uncultured Tomentella. Its description in RNAcentral is "eukaryotic LSU rRNA". The stretch from base 245 to 399 matches the Rfam family "5.8S ribosomal RNA". The record is from RNAcentral. Lineage: Eukaryota; Fungi; Basidiomycota; Agaricomycetes; Thelephorales; Thelephoraceae.
AGUCGUAACAAGGUUUCCGUAGGUGAACCUGCGGAAGGAUCAUUACCGAAUUGUCAAACGGGUUGUUGCUGGUCCUUGAAAGGGGACAUGUGCACGCUCUGUUUACACAUCCACUCACACCUGUGCACCCUCCGUAGUUCUAUGGUCUGGGAGACCUUGUCUUCCUGCCGUGGUUCUACGUCUUUACACACACACUGUAACAAAGUCUUAAGGAAUGUAUGCAGCGUCUAACGCAAUACAAUACAACUUUCAGCAACGGAUCUCUUGGCUCUCGCAUCGAUGAAGAACGCAGCGAAAUGCGAUAAGUAAUGUGAAUUGCAGAAUUCAGUGAAUCAUCGAAUCUUUGAACGCACCUUGCGCCCCUUGGCUAUUCCGAGGGGCAUGCCUGUUUGAGUAUCAUGAACACCUCAACUCUCAUGGUUCGCCGUGAUGAGCUUGGACUCUGGGGGAUUUGCUGGCCUGCGGUCAGCUCCCCUCAAAUGAAUCAGCCUCCCAGUGUUUGGUGGCAUCACGGGUGUGAUAAAUAUCUACGCUCGUGGUUGCCUGCCAGGUAACCUUUGGUGACAAAGGUUUGCUGGAGCUUACAGAUGUCUCUCCUCAGCGAGGACAGCUUUUUGGACGUUCGAUCUCAAAUCAGGUAGGACUACCCGCUGAACUUAAGCAUAUCAAUAAGCGGAGGAAAAGAAACUAACAAGGAUUCCCCUAGUAACUGCGAGUGAAGCGGGAAGAGCUCAAAUUUAAAAUCUGGCGUGCCUCUGGU